This 497-nucleotide ribosomal RNA is filed under the name uncultured bacterium. RNAcentral's name for it is "partial 16S ribosomal RNA". It matches the Rfam family "Bacterial small subunit ribosomal RNA", at positions 28 to 507 of the family's 1533-position model. The record is from RNAcentral.
GAUGAACGCUGGCGGCGUGCCUAAUACAUGCAAGUCGAGCGAACAGACGAGGAGCUUGCUCCUCUGACGUUAGCGGCGGACGGGUGAGUAACACGUGGAUAACCUACCUAUAAGACUGGGAUAACUUCGGGAAACCGGAGCUAAUACCGGAUAAUAUAUUGAACCGCAUGGUUCAAUAGUGAAAGACGGUUUUGCUGUCGCUUAUAGAUGGAUCCGCGCCGCAUUAGCUAGUUGGUAAGGUAACGGCUUACCAAGGCAACGAUGCGUAGCCGACCUGAGAGGGUGAUCGGCCACACUGGAACUGAGACACGGUCCAGACUCCUACGGGAGGCAGCAGUAGGGAAUCUUCCGCAAUGGGCGAAAGCUUGACGGAGCAACGCCGCGUGAGUGAUGAAGGUCUUCGGAUCGUAAAACUCUGUUAUUAGGGAAGAACAAAUGUGUAAGUAACUAUGCACGUCUUGACGGUGCCUAAUCAGAAAGCCACGGCUAACUACGUG